CAGCGUCUGUUUUGUAUAUAGGGAUUAAAGAGGAUAACUUUAUUUUUUCCUUUGGAAAGAAUAAUUCUUUUGGAAUUUUGGAAUUUUGAUUUUCUUAGAUGACUUUUUAGCAAUUUAAUGAUAAUAAUUUCUAUUUUUCUUCCAAAACUAUGGCAUGUUAUAGUAGAUCUUACUAUUAAAGAUCUUUUAUAUUUUAAACUGUUUUUUUCCUAUUCUGCUUUUUGCUGCUCUCAAAGACUGUGAUUGAUGAACAUCACCAAACUUUUUUUGUGGCAAACUGCUUAUUUUAUAAGUAGCUUUAUAUAAGAAAACUUCUUAGAAAACUAUGUGGCUGGUUGGUUCCAUUUAGAAACUCUUAACAGGUAUGGCUUUCAUUCCUCCAGUUGUUUGCUUUUAUAGACUUGGAGCAAAAAAUAUAGCAAAAAGUAAUCAUAUCUGGCUAGAUAGCCAUUUCUCUCAGAUUCAUUGCUAUAAAAAUGAAUCUACUGAGGCAUAAAAAUAUGAAACAUAUUUAAUUCAUCUCUUUUGUCAGUUUUUCUGGGACUCCAAUAGCAUUUCAGUGUUAUAGAGAGUGACAGUGACUUGAAUGCAUGUAUAUGCACAUAGUCAAUUCAGAGCGUAAUAACUAAAAAUUCAGAAUGACUUGUUUUUUGAAAGUACUUGGAAAUUGUGCUGCUACUUAAAUAUUGAAGGAAUUCAGAAAGUUGUGUAUUUAUCUUAAAAUGUUCCUUCUCACUUAUUCUACUGGAAUUGACCAUGAAAAAGAAAAUAUUAUGCCUUAUUUAUAUCUAAUUAUUGACUGUGCAAACUGUGACUCAGUGGAUAUUUGUAUGCCCCCCAAAAACAUUUUAAAGCUGAGCAAUUUUUAAUAAAGAUGUAUAAAUAAUUUUGAUUAUUCUCAUUGUAGUUAAGUUACUGUUAGUUUGGUGCAAUACAUUCUUUCCUUCCUCAUCCUUUUAAAAUUAAAUAUAUAAGAUGUAUGUUUUGUUUUAUUACAUUAAGUGCUAUUUUUAAAAAAUUCAUUGUGUGUAUAUGAGCUAAUACUUGAUUUGUUUCUGUAUAGCAUGAUUAAAGAUAAUUGAAAAUUUUGCACUUAUUUUAGGCCCU
This 1107-nucleotide long non-coding RNA is filed under the name Homo sapiens (human). Its description in RNAcentral is "HSALNT0046030". The record is from RNAcentral. Lineage: Eukaryota; Metazoa; Chordata; Mammalia; Primates; Hominidae.